AUUGAACGCUGGCGGCAGGCCUAACACAUGCAAGUCGAACGGCAGCACAGAAGAGCUUGCUCUUUGGGUGGCGAGUGGCGGACGGGUGAGUAAUGUCUGGGAAACUGCCCGAUGGAGGGGGAUAACUACUGGAAACGGUAGCUAAUACCGCAUAACGUCGCAAGACCAAAGUGGGGGACCUUCGGGCCUCACACCAUCCGAUGUGCCCAGAUGGGAUUAGCUAGUAGGUGGGGUAAUGGCUCACCUAGGCGACGAUCCCUAGCUGGUCUUAGAGGAUGACCAGCCACACUGGAACUGAGACACGGUCCAGACUCCUACGGGAGGCAGCAGUGGGGAAUAUUGCACAAUGGGCGCAAGCCUGAUGCAGCCAUGCCGCGUGUAUGAAGAAGGCCUUCGGGUUGUAAAGUACUUUCAGCGGGGAGGAAGGCGGUGAGGUUGAUAACCUCGCCGAUUGACGUUACCCGCAGAAGAAGCACCGGCUAACUCCGUGCCAGCAGCCGCAGUAA
RNAcentral lists this ribosomal RNA (506 nucleotides) under uncultured bacterium. RNAcentral's name for it is "partial 16S ribosomal RNA". It matches the Rfam family "Bacterial small subunit ribosomal RNA", at positions 30 to 523 of the family's 1533-position model. The record is from RNAcentral.